Long non-coding RNA from Eriocheir sinensis (Chinese mitten crab), 1368 nucleotides. RefSeq lists it as uncharacterized. Lineage: Eukaryota; Metazoa; Arthropoda; Malacostraca; Decapoda; Varunidae. The transcript is spliced from 3 exons. The record is from RefSeq and is a predicted model, not a curated record.
UCAUUGGAUUUAGUUGACGUUAAGAAGUGUGAGUGUUGCGUUGGUGGUGAUGGGAAAGGUUGGGUCAUUGGAUUUAGUUGAUGUUAAGAAGUGUGAGUGUUGCGUUGGUGGUGAUGGGCAAGGUUGGGUCAUUGGAUUUAGUUGAUGUUAAGAAGUGUGAGUGUUGCGUUGGUGGUGAUGGGCAAGGUUGCGUUAUUGGAUUUAGUUGAUGUUAAGAAGUGUGAGUGUUGCGUUGGUGGUGAUGGGAAAGGUUGCGUCAUUGGAUUUAGUUGAUGUUAAGAAGUGUGAGUGUUGCGUUGGUGGUGAUGGGCAAGGUUGCGUCAUUGGAUUUAGUUGAUGUUAAGAAGUGUGAGUGUUGCGUUGGUGGUGAUGGGCAAGGUUGGGUCAUUGGAUUUAGUUGAUGUUAAGAAGUGUGAGUGUUGCGUUGGUGGUGAUGGGCAAGGUUGGGUCAUUGGAUUUAGUUGAUGUUAAGAAGUGUGAGUGUUGCGUUGGUGGUGAUGGGCAAGGUUGGGUCAUUGGAUUUAGUUGAUGUUAAGAAGUGUGAGUGUUGCGUUGGUGGUGAUGGGCAAGGUUGGGUCAUUGGAUUUAGUUGAUGUUAAGAAGUGUGAGUGUUGCGUUGGUGGUGCUGGGGAUGGGGGAGGAAAGGGGGGAGGAGGAGGAUAGAUGGGAUAAUGGUUCUGAUGGGUGUCUUGUUGAUAGUUAGAUAUGAUUGGUGUUUGAGUAGAUGGCUUUCUUUUGAUAUUCUCGGGGAAAUUGGAUUGGAUUGAUUUAAAUUUGGCGCCACAACAGUCAGGGUCAUAUGGCGCCGUUCUCGAGGAAAGGAGAGAUGAGGAAUAUAGAUGGGAUACUGCUCUGAUGGGUGUAUUGUUGAUAGUUAUAUAUGAUUGGUGUUUGAGUAGAUGAUGUUCCUUUGAUAUUCUCGAGUAAAGGAGAGAUGAGGAAUGUAGAUGGGAUACUGUUGAUGGGUGUAUUGUUGCUAGUUAUAGGUGACUGGUGUUUGAGUAGAUUGUUUUGAUAUUUCCGGGAUAAAUGUUACUGCUGUGAUGAGAGAGGGGGCUAGGAAAGGAGCAAUAUAGGAAAAUAAUGGUGAUUUUUUUUAAUUGACAACAUUUUAUUAGAACCAGAUAACAAUUUUGCGAGACUUCAACGCUUCCAGACAACGCGUUAAAUUCGAGGGUCGGAAGGAAUAACAUUUGAGAAUUACUGAUGAUGGUUAAUACUUUACAUUGAUACUAGAUAAAACUUUACACUCGCUUCGUUAAAUUUGCUGGUUAAGUGGAAGGAAAGGGCCAUUAGAGCGAUACUGAUGAUUAUUAAUAUUGAUUUCGUUACCUGACCUUCGUUCGCAACAUUUGGUGACCUUCCAUC